Halichondria panicea is the source of this 7358-nucleotide long non-coding RNA. RefSeq lists it as uncharacterized. The transcript has 8 exons. The record is from RefSeq and is a predicted model, not a curated record. NCBI's taxonomy places the organism in Eukaryota, Metazoa, Porifera, Demospongiae, Suberitida, Halichondriidae.
UUGCCAACAUAUUACAGUGGGUUGAAUGCUUUAACGCAUACAUCUCAAUUGUCAAGCAACGCGACCCCACACGCGUGCAUGACCUUUUAGCGUAUUCCUCACUAAUCGUCCACACGGCCCGGAAAUACGCUGGAGACGGGUGGAUACAGUAUGUGGAUACAGUAUGAUAGAAACUUUAGAAAAGCAGCUGCAGCUAACCCAGCCAUGAAGUGGGGCGAGAUCUAUCAAACAUUUUAUGCUAUGGCUUUUGUAAAUGCAAAAACCAAAGAGCAUUGUUCAUUAUGCUUUAGCCUAGACCACGCAACGACGGAAUGCGAUGACUACGAACCUCCCAAAGCACCUACUAACUACCACAAACGACCUAUUGCGGCUGUCAACUCGGCAGCCGCAAUUGGAACUUUGGCACAUGCCCACGCCUCCCAAACUGUCCAUACCAACACUCUUGUGUGAGUAGAGUGUGUGUCUGUGAUAGUGCCGAGAGUGAACGUGUGUGGGUGUGAGUAGUGAGUGUGAAAAGUGAACAUGCAUGUAUAUGUGUGGGUGUGUGGAGGGGGUAUGCCAUUGGCCAGGAGUGAGUGUGUGAAGUGAACUUGUUUAUACAACACAUUGACCCUUCCUCCGCACACACGCAGUUUGUGAAGUUUGCCGAGCGAGAGGAAGGGAACACCCCCUACCACAGACAGUACGACUUCCUCAUCCACCGCUUUGCCUCUCUUAGCCUCACCAAGAAUGUCGACGACGCCGAUAAAUAUCACGAGACGCGGAUGGCUGGGUUGCAAGGACUGAGGGGAGUGAUAAAGAUCACAUGAACAAGAUAGUGCCGCCCUUCCUCUUCAAUAUGCACAGUCACAGUGUCGCCCAGUCAAGGUAUACUGUCUAGGAAAGUCACUACAAUUUGCUUCAGUUCUACUCCUGGAGCAUACACAUACUUCAAUGAGUAAAUGUUGAUAGCCUCAGUCUGUAUCAAACUUACCUAUUGAUGGCCUUAGAUAAUUAUACAGUGUGUGCCAAUAGUAACCUCCCUCCCACUCUGACAGAGAGUCUGGUGAGAUCCAGCCUGUUGUGGAGGAGGGGGACAGUCUGGGGGGGUACUCUAUCCUCAGGAUAGUCUCACUGCAGGAGCUUAUCGCUUUUGCCGGACUCUCUCCCAUCGAUAGUGUCCUCAAGCCAAUACUGCAGUAAGUCGGUCAAUGCCUUGUGUGCGUCGGUGCUACUUGUAGGCAAGGUGGUUUCCUAUACAUUGUGCGUACGUAGGUGUUACAACACUGUACUUGUAGGCAAGGUGGUUUCCCUAAUAGGUGUAACUUAAAUGGAACUGCAUUCAGCAGGAGUUCAUUAGGAUUCUUAAUGAACUCCUGAUGUUAGUAAAGUACUAUGACCUAUUGUGCAAUGUUGUCUCAGCAGGUCUAGUACCAUGACAACCAUUGUCUCAUUUCCUGUGUAUAUAGUAGCACUCCAUUGCUCCCCUUAUAGACACUUUGACCUAAACAAACUAUAGAUAUCGGACAAGGAAUUCACAGCUGGUGUGUACGCCAUCGUCGUGGAAGCCAUGCAGAGACAGGAUCGGUACAUGGCCGUCCAGUCGCUGGUGGACCACGUGGAUGCCAAGGUGAAGGAGUCCUGGGAGACCAAACAAGGGAUCCUCGGCACACUCUCUAAGUGUGUUGCCGUGGCAGCAGACAGCUCUCUAGGUGAGUCUCCAUGGUAAAGUACUUGUAUGGUUGCACAUAUUAUUUUUGGGCCAUUUUCUAAAGAAGGCUAUACGCAUUUAUUCUUCGUACUUCGAUGCUUUCAUAGCUGUUAUUAAGUUUCUGCAUGACUGUACAUGUAUGUUUUGACACUGGCUUAACCCUUUCCCCGUUUUAAUUAAAACAAGAAAAUACAGAAUAAAUAACAAUUUUCUUUAAAAAUUUGUAUGUCAUGAACCAUACAUUGAAAUGACUUGUAACUAUUUCCUACAGGUAGCGCAGACCCCAGAGGUAUCUUGACACCAUCUUCGUUACCUAGCAACUGACCACCCCCACUAAUUAGCAAUUGUUUACAAACAUUCACAAUUAUGUACACAAAUAAUAUUGUAUGAAGGCACAGAGUGGCUAAAGACACUAAAUAAGUGUUCUCAAUGUUCUCACGGUGACAUGGUUCAAGCAGGAUCUGCAGAAAGUUCUUUGCGAGGUCGUAUCAGCAGACGCCCUUUUCCCGGGAAAUGUUUUCUUCACCUACACAGGUUUACAAGUUCAAUGGUGGCUCAUGAUGUCCACUGCUGUACUAACUAGCCUAAAUACAGUCAUACUGAAGCUAUCAAGACUACAGAUGCUACUCUAGACUUACCAGAUCCAAGAAGUUGUUCCAUCGCAAGAGCUUCUUCCUCAGACCUUCAGGCAGGCUCUAUAUUUUCUAGCUUGAGGUAGCUUUUUAUCUAGCUAUGAUCCCAGUCACAGUCCUCUCACUCAACAAGGCCAUAAGCAUCGAUAUUCUCACUGUCUAGCUACUUUAGAACCUCACUGAGAUUGUACUACGAAGAUCUUGAAACAUUAUCAAACGGUCACUUUUCUUUCGACAUUACUGUACAAAGCGUACCUCAAGGCAGCAUAUUAAAGAUACCACAUGAAAGAGCAGCUCAAUGCGCAUGUGCUGGUACCGACAGCGUGUGCAUAGCUCCAACACAGUGGGCACAACGAAUUUUUGAAAAUGACCACUAGAGUGGCCGUCAUAAUUAUGACGGCUUCAACGGGGAAAGGGUUAAUCUCUAUAAUUAUGCCUCGGUGCGCAUGCGCAAGCGAGGUAUACGGUAGUGUGUCUGUGUCUGUGUGUGUGUAGUGUCUGUGUGUGUAGGCUGCUACAGCUGCUCAAGGGUGAAUCAAGUGCAAGUAAGAGUUUUUAUAGGCUUCUAGUCAUGUUUUCUUGGAUUUCAAUUCGUGGAUUUGCAAAAUAAUGCUUCGUUCUCGUGUUAUGCCUAGUUUUGCUUACUUGAAAUGCCAUUGCAGCCUUUUCAGAAGAGUCCGUACCAAAACUUGUUCACCGAGUGUUGCUACUGUACUUAGUAGUUAGCUCUGCACUAGAAUGCUAGUUAUAGCUGCAAGAGUGAGAAGAGAGCUGCAAAGCUCUGCUGACUUGCAGCCAUUCAUUUUCGACUUGAACUUUUGGCAUUGAUCGCUUUUAACAACAAUCAUGGGCGAUCAUUACCCACUCUUCGAGUUUCCCUGUGAUUCUGGAUUCUGCAUGUAGCAAAAUUAAAAAUGUUCAUCAUGAUCAAUGUGUGUAUAAAAGCUAGCUUUAUGUUAUGUAGCUCUGGCACCUCUACCGAGGCAUCAGCACCUGUGGUGCUUUCAUUAUACGUAGUAUGGUUUAAUUCCACGCUUUAAAUCUGCAUACAUGUAUUUACAUUACUUAGCUUGUGUCCACUCAUGCAGGUCCGUCUGUACUGGAUAUAUUCCGUACCCUGGUCCGCCACCUCCGUAUCUCCAUAGAAACCGUUUCAGAAGGCCCCUCCGACCUCACGUCCUCUCUAACCUUUCAGCAAUCCAUCACUAUCACUGUGGGGGAGUUUGCAGGAGUCCUUCCCGACUAUCAUAAGCCAGAUAUACUGGAGCUCAUCAACUCUUAUGUACCCGUGGCCUCAAGGGGUCUUGAUAGCAGAGCCACCACUGGACUGUCUGUACAUCCUCUGGCAUCUCAGGACACUCAAAACAGCCCCAUGUUGACUAUACCUCCCUGGUCAAGUGUUUGAGGGCGGUGGCUGACACCUGUCACGCAUCAGUGCUGGAGACUGCGUUCCCAGGGCAACUGUUUGCCUCCCUCGUCCAAUUGCUCCUCAUUCGAGAGCCCAGCACACAGCUGGAUGUGGCCCUACUCUGGCAUCGUCUCGUAGAUGACCAUGCCAAUAAGGACAAGAUUCCUCUCAACACGUGCGUGCGUGCGUGCGUGCAUGUGCACCUUGCUAUGUUCAGUGGGCGUACUAGAUUUUAUUUGUCAGUUAUACAGGUCCAUUUUGUCUUAGCUUUCACUACGUUAUGGUUAGAACAUGGGCAUGAGGUAUCUAUGUGUUAUAGUGUCCCAAAGCUCGAGGGCUUUAGCCCGAGGGAUGAGGGACACUAUAACCAUAGGGAUACCGAAUGCACAUGUUCUAACUGAUUUAGAUCCCAACCUAUUGGCUACUAGAAAUGCACUAGCUUAGCAACAGUCAACCUAUAUAAACAGCCAACCUAGCAACUGCAUCAUUAUUCUUUUGAAAACUAAUAUCUGAGUUGGCAUCUCUGUGUCUCUACUAAAUCUGUGGUCUCUACUCAAGUCAACCCUGUUCCUCCACCUCAGUUUGAUGGACAAAAUUAUAGUCCUAGCUCCACCCACAAAACGGAAACAUCCAGCUCCUCCCCCAGUUUUGCAGCAAACAAGCCCAGCACACUUCCCAAGAAACGAGCGGCUCGUACUACUCUCACAAAGCGAAAGGGAAGACACCUAUAAGCUAUAAUUUGCAGCAAACAAGCCCAGCAAAUGAGCGGCUCCUAAACUACUCUUGAACAAAGCGAAAGGAAGUUUAGGAAGAAGCCAAAACUAGAAUCCCAGCACUUCCAUACAUCCAGCUCCUCCCCCAUGCAGCCUUGCAGCAAAAAAGCACAGCACACUGCCCAAAAAACGAGCGUCUCCUACUACUUUCGAACAAAACCAAAAAAAGAAACUAGAGCUUCUCUCUUUCAUUCUAGUUCUGUUAUUAUAUUAUUACUAGACAAAGCAUCUAGCUACAAUAAUUAUGUUAUAGAUAGUACAUGGGCAUGAGGUAUCUAUGUGUUAUAGUGUCCCAUAUCACGAGGGCUUUGCCCGAGGGAUGAGGGACACUAUAACCAUAGAUACCGAAUGCACAAAAAAAAAAAAAAUACUGGUGAACCCUACCAUCAACCCAGCAAACGCUAUAGAAACUGGUAGUGAAAAAACUGAACAGCCAUAGCUAAUUAUCAUGCAGCUAGCUACAGCUUUAUUAUCAUUUCUGUGCAUUCAAAAAAAUUAUACUUGUACUUUAUACCCUCAAGCUCAUAAUUCCCUGCUAAACACACACAAGUGGGAUCUAAGUUAUUAUGUGUAUCUUCUUGUAAAUCACAAUACAAUGUACAAUGUUGUAGUUUGUAGCCCAGAGCAAUCUAUAGUACCGGUACUAUAGCUCAUAGUUCCCUGCUAAAUACACUCAAAUGGGAUCUAAAUGUAUGUAUACAAUCAUGUGCAGUGCUUACAGCUACAUGUACGUGUAUUUAUACCCUCCCAUUGUGCAGUGAUUGGGUGAGUCUGGAGGCUGUAGGGCUCUCACUGGGUGUGGUUUUGAAAAGGUUCCUCUCUAAAACAGUCAACUCUCUCUUCACCAAUCUCCUGGAACUGGCCAAAGCUAUCUGCACUAGCCCUGCUAACACACUCGCUUUCUACCAACUCGUAUUUCUCCUGACACUGGAAUUCUCUUAUCAAGGGCUCUCGGAUAUACUGGUCUUCCUACACCAGCUGCAAGAGCUUGCUGUGAAGGAGAAAGGCCUUGAGGCACAUCACAGAGUGGUGCUACAUGCUACAGUGGCGGGUGUGCUGCAUCUAGCAUCCAAGAUCAGUCGAAAUGAGGUACUCAAGACGACGCACAUUGAUGGAGUGAUUGCUAAGAGGAGGGAGACAGCUCCGAAGGUUCUAGAGGGAGUGGUAGUAAGAAGAAGUGCAGUCAUCUAGACAUGGAGGAGAAGCUGCUCAAGAGUUCUCAAAUCAUGGACCCGGGUGUCAUGGCUGAGCUGGAGUGAGAAUUGAAACUGGCCAACAGCAAGGCAGAUUUUGUGUGUGUUAUGUCACUGUGAUCGACCCACCCCAUGCUGGAGGUUGAUGUGAGUUGAGACUGAGAAUGAUGCCCUGUCAGUAAUGAACCCGAACACUCACUCAUGCCUUCAAGAAGUUUAGUCAAUUAUGCCUUGCUGCUUGCCUCGAUGGAAGAAUGUGUGGCCUUUAAAAGCUGUAGCUGGUCUAAACCUUCAAUUUGACCGGUAAAGGAACACAGUAGGACACACAAAAGAUGAGUUGUGUCUGGAGAAAGUAAUAUUAAACUUAGCAUCUUUAAAGGUGGUGUAGAUGGAAGCAGUAGCCAACAGACAAUGGCUGAACAGGAGAAUGAGUACAAAGUCAACAGUGCUUCCAGAGCCAAUCCAGUUUCAAGUGUCAAGCAGCUCAGCAAAACUAGGGGAAUUUUGGGAAAUCCGAGGGCUCCUACCCCUCUUCAUGAAACCCUGAUUGUAACCACAGCCACUUGAGAUACAAUGUGCUAGCCCCUUGUAAAGGUACUUGAUAAUUCAUUGCAAACAUCCUAAUUUAAGAUUUCACGACAGCCAGGGUUUGGGUGAACCUUUAUGUAUAGUGAUGUAAUAGGAGGUGUGGUCAACAUUUUUCGGUGCACGUACACCUUCCCCCCCCCCCCCCGUUUUUAUCCUAUGAAACCGUGACAGCAUGUGACGAAGGUUGAACAGAACACCUACUACGGUUUUAAGUAUGUGGAGUUGCAUACUCUUCCUAAUGAAGUUGCUAGUACAGUGGUUUUCCUUUGCAAUAGCACUGCAACCACAAUGUAGUGAUUACCUCUGUCUGUAUGUUAUUUUAAUCCACCCACAUGCACCACCCACACAUCACAAAAUCGCAGUAAAGUGAUCAUCUUACAGACUAUCUACUGCAGACUUUCACACAACUUAAAGAGUAUGUACUCUACUUGCACAGCAUUAUCAUUCCUCCUACUCAUUUAUGCUUGAUGCUCGAGGUCAACAAGCUGCUUCUGGGAAAAUCCAAUUUUGAGCAACACAAGUUCCUUUCAGAUUUGAUUCACUACAUACGUAGCGGUAGUUAGACCCGAAUAAAAUGCAUAGAUAGUAAAAGAUAGUAAAUACAGUCAGCUCCCUAUACAUACAAGUUUGAGCUCAUAUCAUUUUGCCACAAUGAAUCAAGCAACAAGUUAGCUGAGCUACGUACCAUCGCAAUCACUUCAGCUAGACGAAAUAUGAGGAGAGUUGACGUACUGUACAGCUGGAAAAUUUGGUGAUUAUUUGGCGAAUACAAUACAAUACUAUAUACAGUGACGUUGUGUCCACCAGAACAUUUUAAUUUGGGAAUUUUUCAGUAAAUCGCCCAAUUAAAACACCCAUCAAAUUUCCUUAUUAUAAGGGGUUUACAUUUUACAGGCAAUUCCAAGUUAUGAUUCAGAUUGCUUUUGUUGCCUUGUUAAUACCAGGAGCCCAUAAAUAAGAGAAGGAGCGGCUAACUUCAACGUAUACUCUGAGAUCACGUGUCGUAAUUGCCGGUGGCCUACAUUAUGCACUGCAUCUAUGUACAUUAAAUUAGUAAUGAAAUUAUUCUGAUUC